UGACCUCAGCUCAGUCGUGAAUACCCGCUGAAUUUAAGCAUAUAACUAAGCGGAGGAAAAGAAACUAACGAGGAUUUUCUUAGUAACGGCGAGUGAACAGAAAAAAGCCCAGCGCUGAAUCCUUUAGCAUUAUCGGCUAUAAGGAAUUGUAGCGUAUAGGUGCAACUAUUCAAGCAUUUCGUGCACCCAAAGUCCCCUUGAGCGGGGCCACAGUCCAUAGAAGGUGCUAGACCUGUACGGGUGAUGAUUGGUUUGAUAGGUUGCUCCUUGGAGUCGGGUUGUUUGAGAUUGCAGCCCAAAGAGGGUGGUAAACCUCAUCUAAGGCUAAAUACGACCACGAGACCGAUAGCAAACAAGUACCGUGAGGGAAAGUUGCAAAGAACUUUGAAGAGAGAGUUCAAGAGGGCGUGAAACCGCUGAGAUGGAAACGGAUAGAGUUGACGAAACUUGUCGGUAUUCAACGAAUCAACUUAACAGCCUUACGGCUUUUUGUACUCCAAUUUUUUUUUUGGGGGCAUUGACGUAAGUUUUGCCGUUAAGUAUACGCUUUGAUUUGAUGUAUUUACUGACGGUAUGCGCUGAGAGCUUCGUUAUUGCAUAUUGAUAUGUCAUUAUAGUGGACCAUAUCAAUUUUGAUAUGGAAACCUAUAUGCAUACAGAGAUAUGUCUUUGAUGAAGUUACCAAGUGUACAGCAACUUUCGCUUUUUUGUGCAUCAUUUAUGAUUUUUUGAUCGUUUUAACAUUUAAAUGCGGUCGCUUGCGACUUUGUCAAUUAAUGUUAAACGAUAGAUCAUAAAUUUUUGAUGCGUUAAAAGUUGCGUCUCGGUGUGAACGUCAAUCACCUAUCCGACCCGUCUUGAAACACGGACCAAGGAGUCUAGCAUAUACGCAAGCUAUUGGGUGGUAAACCUAAAAAGCAUAAUGAAAGUAAAGAUCAUCUCGUUAUGAUUGAUAUGUGAUCCGUAUUUUUGGUGUAUUUUUCUGAUACACUUAAAUAUAAAUACGGCGCAACAUAGCCCCGUCUUAAUUGCAUGCAAUGGGGCGGAGGUAGAGCGUAUACGCUGGGACCCGAAAGAUGGUGAACUAUACCUGAGCAGGAUGAAGCCAGAGGAAACUCUGGUGGAGGUCCGAAGCGAUUCUGACGUGCAAAUCGAUCGUCUGACUUUGGUAUAGGGGCGAAAGACUAAUCGAACUAUC
RNAcentral lists this ribosomal RNA (1198 nucleotides) under Cylicospirura petrowi. Its description in RNAcentral is "eukaryotic LSU rRNA". It matches the Rfam family "Eukaryotic large subunit ribosomal RNA", at positions 1 to 944 of the family's 3401-position model. Lineage: Eukaryota; Metazoa; Nematoda; Chromadorea; Rhabditida; Spirocercidae. The record is from RNAcentral.